CUUAAAUGUUCAUAACAUACUAAAUGUAUUAUGUUCAUAUUGAAUUUGAUAGAAAACCAAAAAUUGGGAAUUUUGGAAAUAAAGGAGAAGGGAUAAAAAAAAAAACAUUUUCCUGUCCCCAAUAACCUAUGACUUAUGAUACUUUUGCUGAAAUUCUCCAGUCAUUCAAUAUUUUACAAAAUUCUUCCAACAACACUUUACAUACUUUAAACUACGCUCUGAAUGCCCGCGAUUUCGCGGGUGUGUUCUAGUAUA
Molecule: long non-coding RNA, 255 nt
Filed under: Mytilus galloprovincialis (Mediterranean mussel)
Lineage: Eukaryota; Metazoa; Mollusca; Bivalvia; Mytilida; Mytilidae
Source: RNAcentral